Molecule: transfer RNA, 69 nt
Filed under: Ictidomys tridecemlineatus (thirteen-lined ground squirrel)
Lineage: Eukaryota; Metazoa; Chordata; Mammalia; Rodentia; Sciuridae
Description: Spermophilus tridecemlineatus (thirteen-lined ground squirrel) tRNA
Rfam family: tRNA
About the family: Transfer RNA (tRNA) molecules are approximately 80 nucleotides in length. Their secondary structure includes four short double-helical elements and three loops (D, anti-codon, and T loops).
Source: Rfam by way of RNAcentral
GGGGUUGUGGCUCAGUAGCAGAGCGCUUGCCUGGCAUGUAUGAGGCACUGGGUUUGAUUCUCAGCACCA